UGCCUCGUUGAUGUAAUAAGGACAGGCACGACUCUUUUUGUGUUUGGACUCAGCAACGAGGCCACAGAAAACACAGGUUCAGCUUCCAUCAUUGUGAAAUAAACUACAUUGGUGACAAUGAGGCCUGUAAUAUCU
This is a small nucleolar RNA of Sphaerodactylus townsendi, 135 nucleotides long. RefSeq annotates it as small nucleolar RNA SNORA1. The record is from RefSeq and is a predicted model, not a curated record. The transcript has a single exon. Lineage: Eukaryota; Metazoa; Chordata; Lepidosauria; Squamata; Sphaerodactylidae.